Molecule: ribosomal RNA, 432 nt
Filed under: uncultured prokaryote
Description: partial 16S ribosomal RNA
Source: RNAcentral
CCCUACGGGGCGCCACAUGGAGAUCCCGCCGUUCUAUGUCGAGCAGAUCAAGGAACGAAAGGGAAUUUCGCUCUGCACUCACUGCGGCAGGUUUUUGAUACUUCUCUAAAUCCAUCCCCGCCCCCGGAUGUGGGCACGAAUGAACUCCCCUCUGGCCCCUGUAGGGGGCACGGAAUAAUAAAAAUCUUAUAUAUUGCCGGGAUGCCCGGCGCUGACCCUGGCAUAGGGAGGCCGUUACACGACGGCCCCCCUAUGGACCCCCCGCGUGCUCCGCAAGCGCCGGAGGGGCUCCGGGCGUAACGCGGGCGAAGCCUGCUCCGCGGGAAUUCGCCCUCACACAGACGCCCGAUUGGUUCGUCCGGCUUCGCCGGACGUUUUAAUGGCUGGGUGGUGUAGCAUCAGGCAAUGCUUGGGGAGUUGUAAACAGAGGGC